This 497-nucleotide ribosomal RNA is filed under the name uncultured bacterium. RNAcentral describes it as "partial 16S ribosomal RNA". It matches the Rfam family "Bacterial small subunit ribosomal RNA", at positions 28 to 507 of the family's 1533-position model. The record is from RNAcentral.
GAUGAACGCUGGCGGCGUGCCUAAUACAUGCAAGUCGAGCGAACAGACGAGGAGCUUGCUCCUCUGACGUUAGCGGCGGACGGGUGAGUAACACGUGGAUAACCUACCUAUAAGACUGGGAUAACUUCGGGAAACCGGAGCUAAUACCGGAUAAUAUAUUGAACCGCAUGGUUCAAUAGUGAAAGACGGUUUUGCUGUCACUUAUAGAUGGAUCCGCGCCGCAUUAGCUAGUUGGUAAGGUAACGGCUUACCAAGGCAACGAUGCGUAGCCGACCUGAGAGGGUGAUCGGACACACGGGAACUGAGACACGGUCCAGACUCCGACGGGAGGCAGCAGUAGGGAAUCUUCCGCAAUGGGCGAAAGCUUGACGGAGCAACGCCGCGUGAGUGAUGAAGGUCUUCGGAUCGUAAAACUCUGUUAUUAGGGAAGAACAAAUGUGUAAGUAACUAUGCACGUCUUGACGGUACCUAAUCAGAAAGCCACGGCUAACUACGUG